Molecule: ribosomal RNA, 919 nt
Filed under: human gut metagenome
Description: bacterial SSU rRNA
Rfam family: Bacterial small subunit ribosomal RNA
Source: RNAcentral
AGAGUUUGAUCCUGGCUCAGGAUGAACGCUGGCGGCGUGCUUAACACAUGCAAGUCGAGCGGAGAUAAAUUGAAAGCUUGCUUUUAAUUUAUCUUAGCGGCGGACGGGUGAGUAACGCGUGGGCAACCUGCCUCAUACAGAGGGAUAAUCAUGUGAAAAUGUGACUAAUACCGCAUGUCGUUUCGGGAGGGCAUCCUCCUGAAAGAAAAGGAGCAAUCCGGUAUGAGAUGGGCCCGCAUCUGAUUAGCUAGUUGGUGAGAUAACAGCCCACCAAGGCGACGAUCAGUAGCCGACCUGAGAGGGUGAUCGGCCACAUUGGGACUGAGACACGGCCCAAACUCCUACGGGAGGCAGCAGUGGGGAAUAUUGCACAAUGGGGGAAACCCUGAUGCAGCAACGCCGCGUGAAGGAAGACGGUUUUCGGAUUGUAAACUUCUAUCAAUAGGGACGAAGAAAGUGACUGUACCUAAAUAAGAAGCCCCGGCUAACUACGUGCCAGCAGCCGCGGUAAUACGUAGGGGGCAAGCGUUAUCCGGAAUUACUGGGUGUAAAGGGUGAGUAGGCGGCAUGGCAAGUAAGAUGUGAAAGCCCGAGGCUUAACCUCGGGAUUGCAUUUUAAACUGCUAAGCUAGAGUACAGGAGAGGAAAGCGGAAUUCCUAGUGUAGCGGUGAAAUGCGUAGAUAUUAGGAAGAACACCAGUGGCGAAGGCGGCUUUCUGGACUGGAAACUGACGCUGAGGCACGAAAGCGUGGGGAGCGAACAGGAUUAGAUACCCUGGUAGUCCACGCCGUAAACGAUGAGUGCUAGGUGUCGGAGGGGAACCUUCGGUGCCGCAGCAAACGCAAUAAGCACUCCACCUGGGGAGUACGAUCGCAAGAUUGAAACUCAAAGGAAUUGACGGGGGCCCGCACAAGCGGU